Molecule: ribosomal RNA, 497 nt
Filed under: uncultured bacterium
Lineage: Bacteria
Description: partial 16S ribosomal RNA
Rfam family: Bacterial small subunit ribosomal RNA
Source: RNAcentral
GAUGAACGCUGGCGGCGUGCCUAAUACAUGCAAGUCGAGCGAACAGACGAGGAGCUUGCUCCUCUGACGUUAGCGGCGGACGGGUGAGUAACACGUGGAUAACCUACCUAUAAGACUGGGAUAACUUCGGGAAACCGGCGCUAAUACCGGAUAAUAUAUUGAACCGCAUGGUUCAAUAGUGAAAGACGGUUUUGCUGUCACUUAUAGCUGGAUCCACGCCGCAUUAGCUAGUUGGUAAGGUAACGGCUUACCAAGGCAACGAUGCGUAGCCGACCUGAGAGGGUGAUCGGCCACACUGGAACUGAGACACGGUCCAGACUCCUAAGGGAGGCAGCAGUAGGGAAUCUUCCGCAAUGGGCGAAAGCCUGACGGAGCAACGCCGCGUGAGUGAUGAAGGUCUUCGGAUCGUAAAACUCUGUUAUUAGGGAAGAACAAAUGUGUAAGUAACUAUGCACGUCUUGACGGUACCUAAUCAGAAAGCCACGGCUAACUACGUG